This 498-nucleotide ribosomal RNA is filed under the name uncultured bacterium. Its description in RNAcentral is "partial 16S ribosomal RNA". It matches the Rfam family "Bacterial small subunit ribosomal RNA", at positions 30 to 523 of the family's 1533-position model. The record is from RNAcentral.
AUUGAACGCUGGCGGCAUGCCUUACACAUGCAAGUCGAACGGUAACAGGUCUUCGGAUGCUGACGAGUGGCGAACGGGUGAGUAAUACAUCGGAAUGUGCCUAGUAGUGGGGGAUAACUACUCGAAAGAGUGGCUAAUACCGCAUGAGAUCUACGGAUGAAAGCAGGGGAUCGCAAGACCUUGUGCUACUAGAGCGGCCGAUGGCAGAUAAGGUAGUUGGUGGGAUAAAAGCUUACCAAGCCGACGAUCUGUAGCUGGUCUGAGAGGACGAUCAGCCACACUGGGACUGAGACACGGCCCAGACUCCUACGGGAGGCAGCAGUGGGGAAUUUUGGACAAUGGGCGCAAGCCUGAUCCAGCAAUGCCGCGUGCAGGAUGAAGGCCUUCGGGUUGUAAACUGCUUUUGUACGGAACGAAAAGCCCCGGGUUAAUACCCUGGGGUCAUGACGGUACCGUAAGAAUAAGCACCGGCUAACUACGUGCCAGCCGCCGCCGUAA